This is a long non-coding RNA of Oxyura jamaicensis (ruddy duck), 181 nucleotides long. RefSeq lists it as uncharacterized. The transcript is spliced from 3 exons. NCBI's taxonomy places the organism in Eukaryota, Metazoa, Chordata, Aves, Anseriformes, Anatidae. The record is from RefSeq and is a predicted model, not a curated record.
GAUUUGCAGAAUGAGUGGUCCCAUUCCAUAGUUUGUUUGCCUUGAUUUAUCAGCGGGAGGCAGAAAAGCUGUGCAUUUUGCUCUAGGAGAAUAUAUACAAGUUUGCAUUUCAUAUCAGAAAGAAAGGCAUUUCAAACCUGACAAAGGACCUUCUCUCUCUUCGAUGAAAGGUCUACGUCCA